Molecule: ribosomal RNA, 494 nt
Filed under: uncultured bacterium
Lineage: Bacteria
Description: partial 16S ribosomal RNA
Rfam family: Bacterial small subunit ribosomal RNA
Source: RNAcentral
GACGAACGCUGGCGGCGUGCUUAACACAUGCAAGUCGAACGGUGAGGCGCGGUCCUUUUUGGUGGGUGUGGAUGAGCGGCGGACGGGUGAGUAAGUCGUGAGUAACCUGCCCCCUCCUUCUUGAUAACCGCAUGAAGGUGUGGCUAACACGGGAUAUUCUGGGCCUGUCGCUUGAUGGGUCUGGGAAAGAUAUUGUUUCGGUGGGGGAUGGUUUCGCGGCGUAUCAGCUUGUUGGUGGGGUGAUGGCUUACCAAGGCGGCGACGGGUAGCCGGCCUGAGAGGAUGGCGGACCGCACAAGUGAGGCGGCGCUGCGCCGCCUACUACGGGGGGCAGCAGGGGGGAGUACUGCACAAUGGGGGGCAGCAUGAUGCAGCGGCGCCGCGGGGGGGAUGGUGGCCGUCGGGUUGUGAUCAUCUUUCGCCGGUGAAGCAGGCCUGCCUUGUUUGUGGGUGGGUUGACGGUAGCUGGAGAAGAAGCGCCGGCUAACUACGUG